AAAGCUCCUCCUCGCUCUCCCUCUCGAACUCAUGCCCCGGGAAGUUCUCUUCUCACAGAGCCAGCCAGGGAGCAUUUCGCAAUGGCAGUUUCCACAUUCCCAUCGGGUGGGGACAGAAGGGUGGCCUCGGACAGACUGGCGGCCGGGGGAUGCGUCAGGACCGUGCAGAGGGAGCGCCGGGCUGGCCGCCCCCGCUCCGCUUGGCCUUUUCCUGUUCACAGGCUCCUGCACAAUGAUCCGAGCUGUAGCCAUAGCGACGACGUGGAAGGAGGCUUUUUUUUUUUGUCUACAUAAGUUACAACAAAAUAUAUAUGAGGAAAACAACCCUUCCCCCUCCCGUCAUCUUAUAAAGAGCCUUCGAUGUCGAUGUAAUUCAAAAAGCCAAUGCAAACUUUUCCCGUGAAAAAGCACAUGGGCGCUUUACUGCAUUCCUGCCCGGUGUUUUGUCCUGGGAGAGCCGCCGGCCCUGGAGCCCGGCCCGGGGCAGCCGAGCUGUCCGCUCAGGGCAGGCGCCAGCUCCGCACGCAGCGGGACUCGGGAAAGCGCGGCCUAAUUCCCGCCGGGCAGCGCUGCCUCGGGCUGCAGGCCAGCCCAAGGGUGUGUGUCGUGCCUCCCUUCCUUUGAGAUUUACUCCAGGCCAAAGCAAGAAACAAAAAGCUCCAGGGGAUAAUUAGCUUGUGAGGAUGGGAAACACCAUGUUCAGAAACUGCUCUUAGGACAAAUGAAAUAGAUCAAGUGAAUAAAUCAGUGCCUAAAUCUCCAUCACAGAAGCAAGGACCCCUUUUCAUUGCCUUGUUACAAGUAAGUUGUUCUCUAUGAAAUUUAUUUAAAAUCUCAAAUUAAUUUCCUUUUCCUGAAGUUUAAAUGUUUAAACACCAAAAUGUUUAAAGAAUGUCUCACCUAGAGCAGUCAAAAUAAAACUCAUUAUGAAAUGAUAACAAGACUUUAGUGUUACAGUAGCACCUUGAGUGAAAUCAGGGCUUGGAGGGCUGUGCUACUGGGUGCCUUCCCACCUCCAGCUUUGUGCAUCCCGGAGAAACAGGUUUUCCUCUUACACAGCUGCAAGUUCCCCCCAAAAAUGUCCCUUAAGCUUUAACCCGGGGAGAAGUGAGUGGCCCCCUCCAACUCUACUGCUGAGCUGGGAGUAGGAAAGGGACGAAAGGAGAAAGGGAUUGGUAAGAAACCAAUCCUUACUAGUGCGGGGAGAAAAUCAACAAUGGAGAGUGUGCAUCAAAAAAUCCACUGUAGGUUUUCACUGUGCCCUUUUCAAACCAUAGUGCACAUGUUUGCUCACUCUUGUGUUGAUUUUUCUUUUUUUUCUUGUCCCCAUCCUGCAGUCAGUGUGGAGGGAAGGUCAGGUUUGGGGAGCUCACCUGGCCAAGGGUACCACAAGAUUCCCCAGUCAGGACAGCUGUCUCCUGUAGCUGCCUUCACAUGAGCAGGAAACAAAAUGUAAGAAAAACAAACACGAUACCAACCUCUUCAUAAACACUCAUAACCUUGAAUAGGUUCCUGUUAUGCAAGGCACACCCAACACCCUUUCAGGGUGCUGCAGGGCACCAGAAGUGCUGCAAAGCUGCUGUUUCCAGGAUUUUAGGUACAGCCACCCAGAUCUGCAGCCUCUCCCACAAUGGGGGAGAAGCUGCUGCUGUGCCAGGAUGAGGAGACAAUCUGCAGGCACCUGUGCCAGCACUGGGUGAUGUGGGACAUCACCUAUGGCCCCACAUACCACAUGUGUAGAAAUAAGGGCUCCAGGAGCACCAGGAGUGCUCCAGGCACGCUGGUGCAGAGCUGUAGUACCCUGCUCUGGGUCAGAUGUGGCCAUUGAGUUAGCACAGCCAUCAUCAGUAAAAAUUAACCUGGUUCACAACCUUGAAGUUUAAAAUAAAUUACAUUUUUAAAAAGAGUGAGGCUAUUGUUUUCCAGCUCACAAAAUAGUAAUUGACCAGGUUUUAAGGAAACACUGUUCCAAAAUUCCAAAGUGAAAAGAGCAGCUAGUGAUAAUCAUAUAUGAGGAGCUUGAGCAUCUGUAUAUGAGAAACCUUGAAAGCAGGGAUGAUGAGGUGCCAGAAUUCCUCAAGAAAAUUA
Non-coding RNA from Taeniopygia guttata (zebra finch), 2088 nucleotides. The record is from RefSeq and is a predicted model, not a curated record. Lineage: Eukaryota; Metazoa; Chordata; Aves; Passeriformes; Estrildidae.